AUUGAACGCUGGCGGCAGGCCUAACACAUGCAAGUCGAGCGGAUGAAGGGAGCUUGCUCCUGGAUUCAGCGGCGGACGGGUGAGUAAUGCCUAGGAAUCUGCCUGGUAGUGGGGGAUAACGUCCGGAAACGGGCGCUAAUACCGCAUACGUCCUGAGGGAGAAAGUGGGGGAUCUUCGGACCUCACGCUAUCAGAUGAGCCUAGGUCGGAUUAGCUAGUUGGUGGGGUAAAGGCCUACCAAGGCGACGAUCCGUAACUGGUCUGAGAGGAUGAUCAGUCACACUGGAACUGAGACACGGUCCAGGCUCCUACGGGAGGCGGCAGUGGGGAAUAUUGGACAAUGGGCGAAAGCCUGAUCCAGCCAUGCCGCGUGUGUGAAGAAGGUCUUCGGAUUGUAAAGCACUUUAAGUUGGGAGGAAGGGCAGUAAGUUAAUACCUUGCUGUUUUGACGGUACCAACAGAAUAAGCACCGGCUAACUUCGUG
Molecule: ribosomal RNA, 484 nt
Filed under: uncultured bacterium
Lineage: Bacteria
Description: partial 16S ribosomal RNA
Rfam family: Bacterial small subunit ribosomal RNA
Source: RNAcentral